UACGUAGGGAGCAAGCGUUGUCCGGAAUCAUUGGGCGUAAAGCGCGCGUAGGCGGCCCUGUAAGUCCGUUGUGAAAGUCAAAGGCUCAACCUUUGAAAGCCGAUGGAUACUGCAGGGCUAGAGUCCGGAAGGGGCGAGUGGAAUUCCUGGUGUAGCGGUGGAAUGCGCAGAUAUCAGGAGGAACACCAAUAGCGAAGGCAGCUCGCUGGGACGGUACUGACGCUAAGGCGCGAAAGCGUGGGGAGCGAACAGG
Molecule: ribosomal RNA, 253 nt
Filed under: uncultured bacterium
Lineage: Bacteria
Description: partial 16S ribosomal RNA
Rfam family: Bacterial small subunit ribosomal RNA
Source: RNAcentral